GAGAGCCUGGAUUGUAGGCCAUGAUGCUGUUCAUGAAGGAGCUUGGCUCUGGAGUGAUGGUUCCAAAUUUAACUACCAAAUAUGGUUUUCUGGAGAUCCCAAUGACGAUGGUAAUGAGGACUGCCUUGAGAUGAACUUCGCAAGUGGCAAAUGGAAUG
Molecule: long non-coding RNA, 158 nt
Organism: Cyprinus carpio (common carp)
Lineage: Eukaryota; Metazoa; Chordata; Actinopteri; Cypriniformes; Cyprinidae
Exons: 3
Source: RefSeq, a predicted model, not a curated record